This 464-nucleotide ribosomal RNA is filed under the name uncultured Klebsiella sp. Its description in RNAcentral is "bacterial SSU rRNA". It matches the Rfam family "Bacterial small subunit ribosomal RNA", at positions 338 to 795 of the family's 1533-position model. The record is from RNAcentral. Lineage: Bacteria; Pseudomonadati; Pseudomonadota; Gammaproteobacteria; Enterobacterales; Enterobacteriaceae.
CCUACGGGGGGCUGCAGUGGGGAAUAUUGCACAAUGGGCGCAAGCCUGAUGCAGCCAUGCCGCGUGUGUGAAGAAGGCCUUCGGGUUGUAAAGCACUUUCAGCGGGGAGGAAGGCGUUAAGGUUAAUAACCUUGUCGAUUGACGUUACCCGCAGAAGAAGCACUGGCUAACUCCGUGCCAGCAGCCGCGGUAAUACGGAGGGUGCAAGCGUUAAUCGGAAUUACUGGGCGUAAAGCGCACGCAGGCGGUCUGUCAAGUCGGAUGUGAAAUCCCCGGGCUCAACCUGGGAACUGCAUUCGAAACUGGCAGGCUAGAGUCUUGUAGAGGGGGGUAGAAUUCCAGGUGUAGCGGUGAAAUGCGUAGAGAUCUGGAGGAAUACCGGUGGCGAAGGCGGCCCCCUGGACAAAGACUGACGCUCAGGUGCGAAAGCGUGGGGAGCAAACAGGAUAGAUACCCGAGUAGUC